Solea solea (common sole) is the source of this 141-nucleotide small nucleolar RNA. RefSeq annotates it as small nucleolar RNA SNORA9. Lineage: Eukaryota; Metazoa; Chordata; Actinopteri; Pleuronectiformes; Soleidae. The record is from RefSeq and is a predicted model, not a curated record. The transcript has a single exon.
GUGCAGACCGUUUCCAGCGAGGCUGAGUCUACAGUGACUCUGUUCUUUCCUACCGUGUCUGCUAGAGAGAGACAUGUGAGGCUGUUUGAGGCCCUGCUGUGUACUGUAUAUGGCAGGGUUAUAGGUAAACCUCACACAAAA